GCGGUCCCCCUUCUGGAUUCCUGGCCGCAGGUUGGGGCCGUUUCAUUCCCUCUGCGGAACAGCAGCUCAGUACAGCGAAGAAACGGACCAGGGCCACAGCUCCCUUCUCUGCGGCUCUUCCGGGUUCGACUCCGCUUCUCCAAACAACUCGCACCUGUGGCAGCUGUGUAUUAUCCACUCAACUUUCUGAGGCUGGCUUCCUGAUCAGCAGUGCUAGAUCUGCAGUUCUGUCUGUCUCUGUCUCUCAUUGAGCCCAGGACUUGCCAACUCCAGGCCAGUCCUCUGCCACCCACUGCCACGGCAUCCUCCUUUUGCUGUUUAACACGGCUUUUGUCUCUGGCCGCGUGUCCCUUCCUUCUUUGGACAAAUGCUGAACGUGCCAGACCCUGUCCUCUGUGUGCCUUGCACAGUGUUGAUGACAGACAGUGCCAGAACCCGCUGGGCUUUCCCACUGCGUGGACGAACCUACUCGCUUGACCUCAGGGCCAGCCAUGAAUCUCUACAUGGCCUCGACUAGCCUUGAACUUGAGACCCUCCUGCUUCAGCCUCCCCAGGGCUGGGAUUGUAGGCCUGCAUGACCAUGCCCUGAUACAGUAAUUUAUUUCUUCUUACUGUUGAGUAGCACUUGUUAUAUAAGUACACCACAUCAUCUUUUAAAUGUUUUUUUACUAUGCUACAUCUUAUCUAUUCAUGUGUUGACAGGCAUGUUUCCAGAUAACUAUUAUGAAUAGAGUUGCUAUAAACAUUCCUAUAUUACAAUCAUUAUGUACUGCAAAAAAAUUAAAAUUGAAAAAAUUCUUGUACUGUACAAGACUUUUUGUGAGCAGGCGGUUUCAUUUCUCUCAGAUAAAUGCCUAGGAAUCAAUACCAGGUCAUAUGAUAAAAGCAUGUUUACAUUUUUAAGAAACUAUUUUCCCAGCCCAGACCACUUGACAGAUCUACUGAGUGUGUAUGAGGUUCCAUUUUUACCACACCCCAGCUGACACUUGCUUUUUUGUUGUCGUUGUUUUAAAGGAAUUUUAUCGGUUCCCUCUAGAUAAACAUAAUGAUCACAUUCAUCAUGGGGGAUUCUCCUGAGCAUGGUCUGGACGUGAGAUGGCGUGAAGGGCGCACUUUCUGGAGGGCAAGGGUGCUGCUGUUUCUCCUUCCGUGUUAGUGGCACGUGUGAGUGUGGCCUGGCACACGUCAGUGGCUGGUGUUGGUGAGUAGUACUCCAUUUACGAGCAUGGCACCAUCUGCCCACUGUGCCCCACUAUUACAGCUUUUAAAAUAAGCUUCAUUGAGAUAUAAUUUGUACGCCAUGCAAUUCACCUGUAUAAAUCGCACUUGCAGUGGCUGUAGUUUUUGCACAGGGAUAUGCAGCUACCAGCGAUCAACUUUAGGGGUUUUCAUUACUCCCGAAAGUGGGCCUCACCAUUUCCUGUGGUCACACUCCAAGCCCUGGAAACCACUCAUCUAUUUUCUGUCUGUGGCUUUGCCCAUUUCAGCCAUUUCAUAUGAAUGGAGUCAUACGGCCAGGCGUGGUGGUGCCUUCCUGCAAUCCCAACACUCAGGAA
Molecule: long non-coding RNA, 1556 nt
Organism: Fukomys damarensis (Damara mole-rat)
Lineage: Eukaryota; Metazoa; Chordata; Mammalia; Rodentia; Bathyergidae
Exons: 3
Source: RefSeq, a predicted model, not a curated record